CUCCAGGAUGCUGGGCAGCGAGUUUCCUCUGUCCAUUCGCUCCCUCCGCGCAUCUCCAUUCUACACACAAACAAACAUCUAUGUUAAAGCUAUGCCUGGGAAUCUUUACUGAACAUACACCUUAGUUGUACCAAAGCCAAACACAAACACUGUUAGAAAUCAUGCAUGUACACUAGUGUGAAGAUGCAAAUUAAACACACACACACACACACACACACACACAUACAUACAUCAGAACAGGACAGGACAGACAGACUUGGAGGAUGACUCAGAUUUGCAGGCGCUGUUCCAAACGUGCAGCUGUUCAGUACCAGUAAAGAUGGCAGGUUAGCUGAAGCACAGCACUCCUAAUGUCAUGCACAUGCCACACAGAGUCUGAGCAGAUGUCACGCUUACCUGAGCAGCUGAAAAAUAUGACAAUAGGAAGAUAAAGAAUGAUUACAUGGGAUAUAAAUGAUCACUGGAGAGUGCAUUUUUAAUUCUGUCUAGGAUGUACAACUAACACCAAACCAUUGACACAUCCAUGAGAAAAACAGUAUCUGCAUGUUGUUUCCUGCAGCAUGUUCUAUCCAAGUGUCAUUUCACUAUUACAUACAACACUUUCAAUGUGUAGAAGUUUGUCAAUAAAGCUGUUUUCUUGACAAAUAUGACCAAAAAUCUAGUCAAGCGAAUGACAAUAAAUGAGAUCAUUUAUAUAACUGUUAUGUGUGUCUGUUUAACAAGCUGUUAGAUUUACAUAUAGACUAAUGGGGUAAACUGGUUCUAUUUCAAAAACAUUAGAUGUGGAUGUCCUCAUGUAAACAGUAUUCCUCAGUAUGUUUUAAAGACCUUUGGGGAAGGUUGCAUUAUUUUCUAUGAACAUAAUCUAAAACUCAACUAUAAAUUCCUGCAUAACCAGGCUCUGGGUGCGCAGUGACCUCCUGGUUCCUCUCAGUCUCAGUAAUAUUGGAAACACUGGGAACAGUAAGGUGUUUUUAUGUAAAUCCUCAUUUAUACAAACUGCCUUCUCUGUUUGUGGAAAUAAUAUUUGUAAUCCUUUACCUUCAGGUUUCAAACUGGAUACAGACUCAUUUUACAAAGGGAACAGUCAUGGUGUCAUGAAUAACACACCCUUUCUUGUUGUACUUCAUUGUAAUUUAGCUAAAUAUAUGUCCCUAUACAAGUAAACACUAAAAUGAAAUUUUAAAAAAAUAAAUGGAACACAUUCAGCAUUAAUAACAAAAUGUGUUCAUA
Sphaeramia orbicularis (orbiculate cardinalfish) is the source of this 1233-nucleotide long non-coding RNA. RefSeq lists it as uncharacterized. The record is from RefSeq and is a predicted model, not a curated record. NCBI's taxonomy places the organism in Eukaryota, Metazoa, Chordata, Actinopteri, Kurtiformes, Apogonidae. The transcript has 3 exons.